AAUGAGAAAACAGAGUGUUUACAGCUACAUUCAUCCUGAUAUUAUUGAUUAUACAGCUUCUUAUAAAGAAAUGAAUGAACAGAAACUCAAGCAGAAAUGGUAGGAAGAUUCAGUUUGAUAUCCAGCUGAGACUCUCGGGUGUGACCAUCAAAAUCUAAUGGUAUCUAUUGCAACGGCCCAGGACCUGCAUCACAUGCAUGUUAUGGUGCCCCAGGAAGCUUCACAGUGGGGGUGUCAGGCAGAGGCAGCGGGCUUACCUCCCAGUGGUUCAGGAGGAGAACUGUAGCCUGAAGGUCGGCCACAGGCCACUGAAGAGGAACGGGUAAUGUUAUGCCACAGUUAGCGUGGGCCUCCCAUUAUCCCUCUCACCUGUCCCGAAUGGCAGAGCCAUCUCCUCGGGCCCCGAUAAGAGCGAGGCUCGGUGUCAUCCUGAUGCAUGGCAGGAUUAGUGCUGUCCAAACACACCAGGCUGCACUUUAAGGAGAACAGAGGAGAGGGCACGGGACGGCUCUCUUCAAAGUUGGAGCAGACCCAUUCCACACGGCGGGGCUGAGGAAUUAACGAGGAGGCCUCCACAGUGGACAUAUAAGUGCGCCACCUGCUGUACACUCACGGCCCUACGCUCUUCUCCUCACAUUCAGCAUCCUGUCCGAAUCUUUGAGGAGGUUUCCAUGGAGAUAGUCUCCAUGACGACGUCUCUGUGCUGAGCACAUUGUUUACCUGUUGUUUGUCUGAUCUCCAUAUUCAGUAUUCCGCUGCAGCACCGCGGUGCGGAUUGGGAGUCGUGCAGAUGAGGCUCACACAUCUCAACAUGCCGAAGUUACUGUCAUGAAGAUGACUCACCGAGCUCUUUACGCCUGUUAAUCAAGACUCUCAGAGGUUCCUGCAGUCGGAACACGUCUCAGAACCACGACAUGAAACACCUCACGCACCUCCAUCUGAACGUGGGAUACACUCUGCAGCGGGUCAUUAUUAUGAGAGCGCAGAAUACUGUCGCUUUUGGCCCUCAUAACUUUUUGAUCAUUUUUAAUAUUCAUACACUGCAAAAAAAUAAAUCUUAGCUAGUAAAAUUA
Molecule: long non-coding RNA, 1073 nt
Organism: Astyanax mexicanus (Mexican tetra)
Lineage: Eukaryota; Metazoa; Chordata; Actinopteri; Characiformes; Acestrorhamphidae
Exons: 5
Source: RefSeq, a predicted model, not a curated record